AGAAAGACAAAUAUCACAUGAUUUCACUCAUAUGUGGAAUUUAAGAAACAAAACAGAUGAACAUAUGGGAAGGGAACAUAGCAGAGAGGGAGACAAACCAUAAAAGGCUCUUAAAUACAGAGAACAAACUGAGG
Long non-coding RNA from Leopardus geoffroyi (Geoffroy's cat), 134 nucleotides. RefSeq lists it as uncharacterized. The transcript is spliced from 3 exons. Lineage: Eukaryota; Metazoa; Chordata; Mammalia; Carnivora; Felidae. The record is from RefSeq and is a predicted model, not a curated record.